This 253-nucleotide ribosomal RNA is filed under the name uncultured bacterium. Its description in RNAcentral is "partial 16S ribosomal RNA". It matches the Rfam family "Bacterial small subunit ribosomal RNA", at positions 524 to 776 of the family's 1533-position model. The record is from RNAcentral.
UACAGAGGGUGCGAGCGUUGUUCGGAAUUAUUGGGCGUAAAGGGCACGCAGGCGGUGCGGCGCGUUUCGCGUGACAGCGGAGGGCUUAACCCUCCGAGGAUGCGAAAGACGGCGGCACUUGAGGGCCAGAGAGGGACACGGAAUUCCGGGUGGAGUGGUGAAAUGCGUAGAGAUCCGGAGGAACACCGAAGGCGAAGGCAGUGUCCUGGCUGGUGACUGACGCUGAGGUGCGAAAGCUAGGGGAGCGAACGGG